GUACGACGUAGGGAAGUGUUUUGUUAUUUCCAAGGCGCUGGAGAUGAAAACAAAUGUUAGUCAUAUAGUUUAUAUGGCAAUUAGACAUUAAAAUACGUCUGUAUUUGCAUGUGUAAAAACAUUAAGGCUAAUAUUAUGUAAGAGACAAGUAAAAUAUGACGAAAGCUUAAAUCCCUGAAAAGCAAGUCAAGCGUUUUAUUUAGUUUUAAAUGUGGCCUGAUGUAAAGAACGUCUGACAUGGCCGACAUCGCACGUUCAGAUUCCCCACAUUUUAGAGAUUCUAAGACUCAAUUAGUCCAACAGUCAAAUGAAAUAAAGAAAAAUGAAUUGGAAGAUAAGAACAUUAGUUCGUUUAAGAUUGACGUUGACACUGAAAAGAAAUGUAAGAAUAUAAGUUUGCAAGAAGCAUUUAAGAAAUUCAGGAAAGCGAGACAGGAAAGUGUCAAAGAAUCUAGAAAAAUGAAGGAGAGACAAAUGGAUCUAAAUUCUGACCCGGAACGCAUGGAGUUAUUACGAAACAAGUUUAUAGAACAGACCAAGAAAUAUUUUGGUGUGCCUUAUGCCAGAAAAUACUGGGCACCAGACACUCCCGAGUAUAAUUCACCAAUAUUUUUAGACUGCUGUGGUUUAGUUCGUCAGGUAUUGCGGGAUCUGUCCAAAGAAUUUGGUUUUUAUAUCGGACCUUGGAAUCAAGCCUACAUGUAUGAUACUCUGCCCAUUACCAUUGAUAAAGAGGAAGAUAUGAGACCUGGUGAUCUAGUCUUUAUGUCAGGCAUUUAUACAAACCCUAAAAAUAAGAAACAGCGACAUGACAUGACGCAUGUUGAAAUCUGGUUAGGUGAUGGACCUAAAACCAUUGGUUCUCGGUGGAACAACGGUAAAGUUCAAGUAUUUGAUAGUUACAGCUUCCAGGCCAAGAGUUUCCACAGCGAAAAAUAUUAUUUUAAAUCGAUUGAUACCUGGUUGAUG
Long non-coding RNA from Patella vulgata (common limpet), 969 nucleotides. RefSeq lists it as uncharacterized. The record is from RefSeq and is a predicted model, not a curated record. The transcript has 4 exons. Lineage: Eukaryota; Metazoa; Mollusca; Gastropoda; Patellidae.